Molecule: long non-coding RNA, 4417 nt
Organism: Bacillus rossius redtenbacheri
Lineage: Eukaryota; Metazoa; Arthropoda; Insecta; Phasmatodea; Bacillidae
Exons: 3
Source: RefSeq, a predicted model, not a curated record
GUGGCGUGGGCCGGGAAACUGGCAUGCGUUGCUCGUGGUGGGCAGUGGGCAGUGUCGACAACAACGCCUGGACUAUGCAACAGUAGCCCGGAGAUCCUCUUGCAGCCAAGAUGGCGGAUGGUGGCCUCGUGAACGAGGGCAGUCGGACACCGGCCUCCGUGAGCCGCGAGCAGGCGUCUUCCUCGCCUCACCACGACACGCAGGGCCGGUGCAAGAAACCGCCCUCUGGGGGCAGGCUGCUGCUCCACUGCGGAGGGCAGGAAACAGACCAACAGCAACUCGAGGAAUGGACCGUCGGGAGCCGGCAGCUUCCUCCGGGGCGUGAGGGACGGCACUCUGACACCGCGCUGGCCGGGUCCCCUGGAACGUGUGUGGCCACCGUGCCGUGCCGUGCCAGAGGAGACCUGCAGAUCGUCUCCGAACUAGAGAUGCAGUCUUGCACGAGACUUCAGACCACGUGUGCAAGAUGUCAGUCCAAGUUUGAGCAAGAGGCAGCCGUGUACAGCUCGCCUGCUAUGGUUAUGGUGCGCCACUAACCGUAAACCUUCAAAAGGUGAUUUAGUUCAAUGUUCAUUAUCAAAUAGUAAAAAUUUUAAAACUGUUUAAGUGGUAUUUUGAAAUUAUGCACACACAUUUGGCAAGUUCAUUCAGAGCCUAUUGAAGUCAUGGUGAAUGCUAAAUUAAUAUUCUGAGAAAGCCAACGCACUGACAGACUUCUGUUCAUUCAUUAAUAUUUUACCUAGGGUAGUUGGAAAAAAUAUAUAUAUAUUUUACUAAAUUAUCUGAUUAAUCCUAAAAGCACUUUGUAUUGUAAUUUUUUUUCUGUCAUAUCAUAGAGACGGUUAUCUCCUUACUUGUUAGGCAAGACCACAAUUGUUGUUAGGUUAUACCCAGUGCAACUUAGAUAGUUUUAUUAACUGUACUGCUAUUAUAUCAUUUUCUUCCUCAAGCCCUCUUAAAUUUUUAGAAAGGGUGCCAGAUCCACAAUGGCUCCCUCAAUUUAUUUACAUGGACAGUAUUAUCAUUAAGGAUCUGGGGCUCUUCACUUAAGGAAAAAAAAAGUGGGGUAGGAUUUAGUGCAUUACAGAAAGAGCACACAUGAUUGUGUAGUAAAUAUUUAUUUAUUACUCUCAUUAACACAUUUUAUGCUUAAGUGCAUACAAACAUGCAACAAGUAUAACUGCAAGUACAGAUUAUCUCAGUAAAAUAAAAAAAUGUUGAGUGUUUUUAAUAAUUAUAAUUUUGGUUAGUUGCUACAAUAAAAUGCUUGCUAUGAAUGAUGUCAUUUCUUUACAGAACAUUUUGUUUCAGACUAGCCAUGUUUUCCAAACUGCUGCUACAAAUAAUUUAAUGGUGUAUUUAUCACCUAAGGCCUGAACUCAAAAAUAGUUUUUGAUGUUAGAAUUUUAGGAAACUAGUACAGUAGAGUUAACCAUCCAUGUGUUGUAGACACAUGUAUCUCCAAAUUAAAAAAAAAAUACUCUGAUGAAAGUACAGGCAUCACCAGGCCAGGAAAAUGUAGCUAUCUUUUACAACAAACUGUUCUAUUGCAGAAAUAAAAAAAAAACACACGCAUAUAAACUAUGCUUCUGAGAGCAAAAAUGCAAUUCAGUCUCAUAAUUGGAAGAAAUAAAAGUGUCUGCAUAGGCCUGUUGUGGUUGCACUGCCUGCAAUGUAAUCUUUGAUUGUGACAAUUGUGGAAGUUAGCCCCCCUGAACGUGUGACACUACCAGCAUACCCCCACGAGGAUGCUUCAACGCCAGCCAUGUGAGUGGAGGGGGGAACCAUGUGUUUCCUAUAAAGGGGACUAGUGCUAUAAUAACCCGAUUAUGACUUUCAAACACUACUGUAUCAGAGAUUUGGAACGGGAGAAAUGCAUGAUGGUAAUUCUCCAUUGCGAGUGUGACAGGUCACGAGUUGCAUGCCGUGUUGGGCGCUAGGGACCAGACUACGAGACGCUCGCUGCAACGGGGCCCUGGAGUGGACCCUCGCUUUCAACGAUCUUUAAGGUGAGUGUUGACUGAGUCAUCCAUUGCCUGCUUAACUGAGGGGGUGUACCUUUUGUGCUAAUAUUAUUUACACCUCGAAGCGACUUAACACAACCCAGUUUGAUACAGGAUAUUUGCCAGGUGUAAUGAACUUGUAUAAUUUAAAUUGUUUCUCAGCCACUUUAAUAAUUUACAAUUAACCUAACUUUUUAAUUGUCAUCUCAGACCCAUUUUAAGGAUAAAUCCUGGGCACCGCAUCAGGUUUGUAAAAAUUGCACAGAACAUUGUACGCCAGUUGACUGGCGGAAAAAGUAAGUUUAUAUUCGGCCUACCAAUGGUUCGGAGAGUAACCAUAAACCACAUUGUCUAGCAAAUAUCACUGGAAUCAAUCAAAGCAACCUUAGCAUGUGGACUUAUUCUGAUUUAGUCUCUGCAAGACACCCGGUCCCUAACUCAAGGAAGUACAGAUCCCAGCAUCCAGAGCUUUCUGAGGACGAGUGUUGUCUCUAUAACCACCUUUCUAAUGAAAGUGACAGUGAUUAUGAGGGGAUGUCAACAAUUCCUCAACGUUUCAACCAGGAUGAGGUUAAUUACCUCGUCAGAGAUCUUAACCUUUCAAAAGAAGCUUCUGAAUUACUAGCUUCCAGGUUGAAGUUUUACUGGGACAAAAAAAAAACAAAAUUACUUUUUACUGUACAAGAGAAAAAGGGUUUGCUAUUCCAGAAACUUCUGAAGUGUUGGUUCCAUCAAUGACUUGGUACUAUCUUUUUAUAUACUAAUAAUAUUUGUGUAAUUUACGGUAAUAAUAAGAAUUUCAUGUUUAAUUUUUAGAUUUGAAUCGUGGGUUUAACCUAAGAUAACGUAAAUCAUUAUCAUAGAAAUUUGACCUUCUAGGCAAAACCAAUGUCAUAUUUGAAUUCAGGGCACCAAAACUAUUGUUGCUAUUGUUGGCCUGUGUUAUAGUAUUUUAACUUAUUUUUUUGUUCCAUUUGUAACUGUGGAGUACUCCCAGUAAUCGGAUGCUGCUGUACUUGUCUUCAUUUAGAAUACACGAGUGGUCGUUUGACGUUAUUCAAUAAACUUUUCGUGUUUCUCACACUGUCAGUAUUUCACUGUAAUCAACCCUUCCUCUUCUUACCCCCUUUGCGAGGAGGGGGGGCAACAGGGCCUAUGAGUUUUGUCGUAAACUGAUAGCCAACAUACACGGUGAAAUUCAUCCACAAUGCCUUCCCUCAUCAUAUUAGUUCCACUCUUAAUAAAGUGCACAGGUUUUUGUGAAGGACCUGAAGAACUAUUCGUAUUCAAGAAUAAUUUAAGUAAAUACAGUUAGAUUUUACUCUUUACACUGCUAUCCUAUUCCAAAACCCCCGUAGUUACAAAUCUGUCAUAACUUUGUAAUCUUUUCCCUUGUGACACUUCGGUAUUACCCAGCUCAUCAGUGAAUUCCAUUCACCUUCCACUACAAACAAAAGAAUUUAAUUUCAAUUUGCUUUUUAUGAUAAAUCCUUACACAUGUUGAACGAUGAAUGAUGUGAAGCAAUGUGGGUUGGUAAAUCAACACUAUGUUGUUUUGUUAAUUGGAAAUAUGCACACAGUUUCUGAAAUUUUUUUUUUUUAAUGGUUUAAUUUACUUUGGCUCCCUAGGGAGGACUUAAUGCAAAAUUAAUAUAGGCCUUUCAAAUGUAUGGAUAUCAUACAACUCCUUAACAAAUUAAUUUGGGACACUUGCAUUCCAUUAUCGUAAAUAGUGAUGCAACUACAGGCAAGCAUACAUUAGUUUGCAGUUCAACAUUGUAAUAUACAUACAAUACAAAAAGAAUGUUUAACUAGCCAAAAAUGAUGGAUACAAAAACAAUAUCAUGAUAAUCACUUACAAAAAUUACACAAUACUUGCUUUAUCAAAAUAUACGACAUACCCUGUUCAAGAAACAUUGGCACAUUUUUUAAAAGAUCAAUUCGUCUAACAAGUGGAAAAGACACGUUUUAGUACUAUAAAAAUAUCUAGGUUACUUAAGUGAUUUUGGCACACACGAGAGGGACCUUCACAUGAUCAACAGUUUUUAAAACACUUGUGUCGCACUUAUCUUACGAGCCUCCUCGCAACAACACAUGCACACACGUAGAACCCUCUCAGAAUGCCAAAAGCUCACAAGUAUUACUAUUACCUAACACUUGGAUCAUCAGUCCCUGAUGAAUCACAUGGGCCCCACAAAGUAAUAACAGACACAAUUAUACAAUAUUCGUACACAAACCUGCAAUGAAUUUUCAGAUCAGAUGACAUGCUCAGUCUCUCCUUAUUUACUAUGUUUUUCAAAACCCUAUGUCAGAUCCCUGUUGAAAUUAACUUCUUAAGAUUCAACUUAUCAGUUCAUUAGAAAUAAUAAUUUUUUUAUUUCAACUGUUUGCUGAGAAGUUGCAUAACACAAAAA